RNAcentral lists this ribosomal RNA (109 nucleotides) under Pteropus alecto (black flying fox). The record is from RNAcentral. Lineage: Eukaryota; Metazoa; Chordata; Mammalia; Chiroptera; Pteropodidae.
GUCUAUGGCCAUGCCACCCUGAAUAUGCCUGAUCUCAUCUGAUCUUAGAAGCUAAGCAGGGUUAGUACUUGGAUAGGAGAACACCUAGGAAGACCAGGUGCUGUAGGUG